Molecule: ribosomal RNA, 114 nt
Filed under: Caerostris extrusa
Lineage: Eukaryota; Metazoa; Arthropoda; Arachnida; Araneae; Araneidae
Source: RNAcentral
ACGGCCAUACCAUCAUCCUGAAUAUACCGGUUCUCGUUAGAUCACCGAAGUCAAGCAUCAUUGGGCGCGGUCAGUACUUGGGUGGGGGACCACCUAGGAACACCGCGUGCCGUU